ACUUGUCGCGGUUCUCUACUAAACUAAAUGUCAGGAAUCAAUGGCUGAGGUGGGUCAGAGAAGCAGCUCUUUAUGAUACAGAAAGAUAAUGAUAUGUACACGUGACUGAACCUUAGGGCCAUCACUGAGCACUGAAACAGACAAAAACCCGGUGGAACAGCUGCCAGGAUCAAUUCAGCCGUGAUCUAACUGCCAAAGGCCGGAGUGGGAAAGGCAGCUCCAAAAAAGGCCAUACUUGUACAUGGCCCAGUUGCAAUUUUUGAGGGCGGUGAUGGAUUUGAGGCCUACUGUGGACAGUCUGGAUGACCCAGAGGACUCUGAGACGGGCGAAAGUGACACUCCGGCAGUAUUUUCCCCUGAAAGUAGUCCUGCCCCAACAUCGGCUGAGGAGCCUGACCAGCCAUCACUGGCCCAGCCCACCCUUUCA
This is a long non-coding RNA of Bufo bufo (common toad), 427 nucleotides long. RefSeq lists it as uncharacterized. The transcript is spliced from 3 exons. The record is from RefSeq and is a predicted model, not a curated record. Lineage: Eukaryota; Metazoa; Chordata; Amphibia; Anura; Bufonidae.